CCUACGGGAGGCAGCAGUGAGGAAUAUUGGUCAAUGGUCGGGAGACUGAACCAGCCAAGCCGCGUGAGGGAGGAAGGUACAGAGUAUCGUAAACCUCUUUUGUCAGGGAACAAAGGCGGGGACGUGUCCCCGGCUGAGUGUACCUGACGAACAAGCAUCGGCUAACUCCGUGCCAGCAGCCGCGGUAAUACGGAGGAUGCGAGCGUUAUCCGGAUUUAUUGGGUUUAAAGGGUGCGCAGGCGGUCUGUUAAGUCAGCGGUCAAAGCCCGGGGCUCAACCCCGGCCCGCCGUUGAAACUGGCAGUCUCGAGUUGGAGAGAAGUAGGCGGAAUGCGCGGUGUAGCGGUGAAAUGCAUAGAUAUCGCGCAGAACUCCGAUUGCGAAGGCAGCAUGCCGGCUCCACACUGACGCUGAGGCACGAAAGCGUGGGUAUCGAACAGGAUUAGAUACCCGAGUAGUC
RNAcentral lists this ribosomal RNA (459 nucleotides) under uncultured bacterium. RNAcentral's name for it is "partial 16S ribosomal RNA". It matches the Rfam family "Bacterial small subunit ribosomal RNA", at positions 338 to 795 of the family's 1533-position model. The record is from RNAcentral.